This 707-nucleotide ribosomal RNA is filed under the name uncultured Enterobacteriaceae bacterium. Its description in RNAcentral is "bacterial SSU rRNA". It matches the Rfam family "Bacterial small subunit ribosomal RNA", at positions 795 to 1502 of the family's 1533-position model. Lineage: Bacteria; Pseudomonadati; Pseudomonadota; Gammaproteobacteria; Enterobacterales; Enterobacteriaceae. The record is from RNAcentral.
UCACGCUGUAAACGAUGUCGAUUUGGAGUUUGGGGGCAUGACCCUUGGGCUCCGGAGCUAACGCGUUAAAUCGACCGCUGGGGAGUACGGCCGCAAGGUUAAAACUCAAAUGAAUUGACGGGGGCCCGCACAAGCGGUGGAGCAUGUGGUUUAAUUCGAUGCAACGCGAAGAACCUUACCUGGUCUUGACAUCUAUAGAAUCUUUCAGAGAUGAGAGAGUGCCUUCGGGAGCUAUGAGACAGGUGCUGCAUGGCUGUCGUCAGCUCGUGUUGUGAAAUGUUGGGUUAAGUCCCGCAACGAGCGCAACCCCUAUCCUUUGUUGCCAGCACGUAAUGGUGGGAACUCAAAGGAGACUGCCGUUGAUAAAGCGGAGGAAGGUGGGGACGACGUCAAGUCAUCAUGGCCCUUACGACCAGGGCUACACACGUGCUACAAUGGCGUAUACAAAGGGAUGCGAAGGUGCGAACUGGAGCGGACCUCACAAAGUACGUCUAAGUCCGGAUUGGAGUCUGCAACUCGACUCCAUGAAGUCGGAAUCGCUAGUAAUCGUGAAUCAGAAUGUCACGGUGAAUACGUUCCCGGGCCUUGUACACACCGCCCGUCACACCAUGGGAGUGGGUUGCACCAGAAGUAGAUAGCUUAACCUUCGGGAGGGCGUUUACCACGGUGUGGUUCAUGACUGGGGUGAAGUCGUAACAAGGUAACCA